This 254-nucleotide ribosomal RNA is filed under the name uncultured bacterium. Its description in RNAcentral is "partial 16S ribosomal RNA". It matches the Rfam family "Bacterial small subunit ribosomal RNA", at positions 524 to 776 of the family's 1533-position model. The record is from RNAcentral.
UACGGGGGGAGCAAGCGUUGUUCGGAUUUACUGGGCGUAAAGGGCGCGUAGGCGGUCACGACAAGUCAGUUGUGAAAUCUCCGGGCUUAACUCGGAACGGUCAACUGAUACUGUCGGACUAGAGUGCAGAAGGGGCAACUGGAAUUCUCGGUGUAGCGGUGAAAUGCGUAGAUAUCGAGAGGAACACCGGUGGCGAAGGCGGCCAACUGGACGAAUACUGACGCUGAGACUCGAAAGCGUGGGGAGCAAACAGG